GAUGAACGCUGGCGGCGUGCCUAACACAUGCAAGUCGAGCGAGAUGUAUAUGGACGAAACUUCGGUCUAGGAAAUAUACUGACAGCGGCGGACGGGUGAGUAACGCGUAGGCAACCUGCCCCAAACACAGGGAUAGCCUCGGGAAACCGGGAUUAAACCUGAUAAUGCCAAACAGUCACAUGGCUGUUUGGCCAAAGAUUUAUCGGUUUGGGAUGGGCCUGCGUCUGAUUAGUUGUGUGGGUAACGGCCUACCAGACUACGAUCAGUAGCCGACCUGAGAGGUGAUCGGCCACAUUGGAACUGAGACACGGUCCAAACUCCUACGGGAGGCUG
This 333-nucleotide ribosomal RNA is filed under the name uncultured Bacillota bacterium. RNAcentral's name for it is "bacterial SSU rRNA". It matches the Rfam family "Bacterial small subunit ribosomal RNA", at positions 28 to 351 of the family's 1533-position model. The record is from RNAcentral. Lineage: Bacteria; Bacillati; Bacillota.